GCCUGAGUGGCUCAGUCAGUUAAGCAUCUGACUUCAGCUCAGGUUGUGAUGUUGAGGUUUGUGAGUUUGAACCCCACUUUGGGCU
RNAcentral lists this transfer RNA (85 nucleotides) under Felis catus (domestic cat). It matches the Rfam family "tRNA". From Rfam's summary of the family: Transfer RNA (tRNA) molecules are approximately 80 nucleotides in length. Their secondary structure includes four short double-helical elements and three loops (D, anti-codon, and T loops). Further hydrogen bonds mediate the characteristic L-shaped molecular structure. tRNAs have two regions of fundamental functional importance: the anti-codon, which is responsible for specific mRNA codon recognition, and the 3' end, to which the tRNAs corresponding amino acid is attached (by aminoacyl-tRNA synthetases). tRNAs cope with the degeneracy of the genetic code in two manners: having more than one tRNA (with a specific anti-codon) for a particular amino acid; and 'wobble' base-pairing, i.e. permitting non-standard base-pairing at the 3rd anti-codon position. Lineage: Eukaryota; Metazoa; Chordata; Mammalia; Carnivora; Felidae. The record is from Rfam by way of RNAcentral.